GAGGUGAACCUGCGGAAGGAUCAUUGU
This 27-nucleotide ribosomal RNA is filed under the name Acanthosyris paulo-alvinii. RNAcentral describes it as "partial 18S ribosomal RNA". Lineage: Eukaryota; Viridiplantae; Streptophyta; Magnoliopsida; Santalales; Cervantesiaceae. The record is from RNAcentral.